UGGGUAACCUGCCUUUAACUCUGGGAUAACGGUUGGAAACGACCGCUAAUACCAGAUACGGUGAGAAGAAGACAUCUUUUUCUUAUUAAAGUGGGGGAUCGUAAGACCUCGCGGUUAAAGAGGGGCCCAUGCGAUAUCAGCUAGUUGGUGUGGUAAAGGCGCACCAAGGCUAAGACGUCUAGGCGGAUUGAGAGAUUGACCGCCAACACUGGGACUGAGAACUGCCCAGACUCCUACGGGAGGCUGCAGUCGAGAAUCAUUCGCAAUGGGCGAAAGCCUGACGAUGCGACGCCGUGUGAGCGAAGAAGGCCUUAGGGUCGUAAAGCUCUUUCGCUUGGGAAUAAGACAAACUGGCUAAUAUCCAGUAAGUUUGAACGUACCAGGUAAAGAAGCACCGGCUAACUCCGUGCCAGCAGCUGCGGUAAUACGGAGGGUGCAAGCAUUAAUCGGAUUUAUUGGGCGUAAAGGGCGCGUAGGCGGGGAUGUAAGUCAGACGUGAAAUCCCGGGGCUCAACCUCGGAACAGCAUUUGAAACUACAUCUCUCGAGGGUAGGCGGAGAAAACGGAAUUCCACAAGUAGCGGUGAAAUGCGUAGAUAUGUGGAAGAACACCGGUGGCGAAGGCGGUUUUCUAGCUUAUUCCUGACGCUAAAGCGCGAAAGCAAGGGGAUCAAACAGGAUUAGAUACCCUGGUAGUCCUUGCCGUAAACUAUGUAUACUUGGUGUAACUGGACUCAACCCCUAGUUGUGCCGUAGCUAACGCGUUAAGUAUACCGCCUGGGGAGUACAGUCGCAAGGCUGAAACUCAAAAGAAUUGACGGGGACCCGCACAAGCAGUGGAGCAUGUGGUUUAAUUCGAUGCAACGCGAAGAACCUUACCCAGACUUGACAUGCAAUAGACCGGUCUAGAAAUAGGCCUUUCCUUCGGGACUGUUGCACAGGUGCUGCAUGGCUGUCGUCAGCUCGUGCCGUGAGGUGUUGGGUUAAGUCCCGCAACGAGCGCAACCCUUAUCAUUAGUUGCCAACAUUUAAGGUGGGAACUCUAAUGAGACUGCCUGGGUUAACCAGGAGGAAGGUGAGGAUGACGUCAAGUCCGCAUGGCCCUUAUGUCUGGGGCUACACACGUGCUACAAUGGUCGGUACAAAAGGCAGCGAAGCCGCGAGGUGAAGCAAAUCCCGAAAGCCGGCCCCAGUUCAGAUUGUAGUCUGCAACUCGACUACAUGAAGACGGAAUUGCUAGUAAUGGCGAGUCAGCAACAUCGCCGUGAAUACGUUCCCGGGUCUUGUACACACCGCCCGUCACAUCAUGGGAGUUGGUUUUACCCGAAUCCGCUGGCUUAACCGCAAGGAAAGAGGCGUGUAAGGUAAGGCCGAUGACUGGGAUGAAGUCGUACAAGGUAG
RNAcentral lists this ribosomal RNA (1400 nucleotides) under Candidatus Protochlamydia naegleriophila. RNAcentral's name for it is "bacterial SSU rRNA". It matches the Rfam family "Bacterial small subunit ribosomal RNA". Lineage: Bacteria; Pseudomonadati; Chlamydiota; Chlamydiia; Parachlamydiales; Parachlamydiaceae. The record is from RNAcentral.